AUAGGUAGCCGACCUGAGAGGGUGACCGGCCACAUUGGGACUGAGAUACGGCCCAGACUCCUACGGGAGGCAGCAGCUGAGAAUCUUCCACAAUGGACGAAAGUCUGAUGGAGCGACAUCGCGUGAGGGAUGAAGGCCUUCGGGUUGUAAACCUCGGAAAUUAUCGAAGAAUGAGUGACAGUAGAUAAUGUAAGCCUCGGCUAACUACGUGCC
RNAcentral lists this ribosomal RNA (213 nucleotides) under uncultured Rhodococcus sp. Its description in RNAcentral is "partial 16S ribosomal RNA". It matches the Rfam family "Bacterial small subunit ribosomal RNA", at positions 279 to 509 of the family's 1533-position model. The record is from RNAcentral. Lineage: Bacteria; Bacillati; Actinomycetota; Actinomycetes; Mycobacteriales; Nocardiaceae.